CAGACUUUUCCCAAGAUGGUAAUGAAAUUGCCUGUUUUCUUUUUUAAGCUUGAAGAGUAACUGUUACAGAAAUGAAGGGAAAUUAAAUGGGAUAAUGUGCACUAUUAAACACAACACUGUAUAGACUUAGACAGCCAAAUUAAUCCACCCUGAGUGCCACAGACCACUGGAAACUCUUUUG
Molecule: long non-coding RNA, 181 nt
Organism: Lingula anatina
Lineage: Eukaryota; Metazoa; Brachiopoda; Lingulata; Lingulida; Lingulidae
Source: RefSeq, a predicted model, not a curated record